RNAcentral lists this ribosomal RNA (497 nucleotides) under uncultured bacterium. RNAcentral describes it as "partial 16S ribosomal RNA". It matches the Rfam family "Bacterial small subunit ribosomal RNA", at positions 28 to 507 of the family's 1533-position model. The record is from RNAcentral.
GAUGAACGCUGGCGGCGUGCCUAAUACAUGCAAGUCGAGCGAACAGAUGAGGAGCUUGCUCCUCUGACGUUAGCGGCGGACGGGUGAGUACCACGUGGAAAACCACCUUUUAAAACGGGGAUAACUUCGGAAAACCGGAGCUAAUACGGGAUAAUAUAUUGAACGGAAGGGUUAAUAGGUAAAAGCCGGUUUUGUUGCACCUAAUGGAUGAUUCCGCGCCGCAUUAGCUAGUUGGUAAGGUAACGGCUUACCAAGGCAACGAUGCGUAGCCGACCUGAGAGGGUGAUCGGCCACACUGGAACUGAGACACGGUCCAGACUCCUACGGGAGGCAGCAGUAGGGAAUCUUCCGCAAUGGGCGAAAGCCUGACGGAGCAACGCCGCGUGAGUGAUGAAGGUCUUCGGAUCGUAAAACUCUGUUAUUAGGGAAGAACAAAUGUGUAAGUAACUAUGCACGUCUUGACGGUACCUAAUCAGAAAGCCACGGCUAACUACGUG